UACGAAGGGGGGCUAGCGUUGCUCGGAUUUACUGGGCGUAAAGGGCGCGUAGGCGGACAGUUUAGUCAGAGGUGAAAGCCCAGGGCUCAACCUUGGAAUUGCCUUUGAUACUGGCUGUCUUGAGUACGGGAGAGGUGAGUGGAACUCCGAGUGUAGAGGUGAAAUUCGUAGAUAUUCGGAAGAACACCAGUGGCGAAGGCGACUCACUGGCCCGUUACUGACGCUGAGGCGCGAAAGCGUGGGGAGCAAACAGG
This 254-nucleotide ribosomal RNA is filed under the name uncultured bacterium. Its description in RNAcentral is "partial 16S ribosomal RNA". It matches the Rfam family "Bacterial small subunit ribosomal RNA", at positions 524 to 776 of the family's 1533-position model. The record is from RNAcentral.